GUGCUCUCUUCAGUAGCACCUACACUGAAACUGGAAUGAUACAGAGAAGAUGAGCAUGGCCCCUGCGCAAGGAUGACACGCAAAUUCAUGAAGCGGAGACAUGUCUC
Small nuclear RNA from Phyllostomus discolor (pale spear-nosed bat), 107 nucleotides. Lineage: Eukaryota; Metazoa; Chordata; Mammalia; Chiroptera; Phyllostomidae. The record is from RefSeq and is a predicted model, not a curated record.